This 1236-nucleotide long non-coding RNA is filed under the name Capra hircus (goat). Its description in RNAcentral is "lncRNA (ENSCHIG00010003474.1)". Lineage: Eukaryota; Metazoa; Chordata; Mammalia; Artiodactyla; Bovidae. The record is from RNAcentral.
ACCACUGAGCCACUCGGGAAGCCCAUCUGAUGUUUGACGUUGGCCAGUUUUUUAGAAGGCAACACAAUCCCCUGGGCGAAGAUGGUAUUGAACACCCAUAGUUAAAGGAAGAAAACUGGAAGGAGACAGAAAAUCCAGCUGGGAAGUGGACACAUGGCCUGGUUUCCCAGAAGUCUCAUAUGCUCAAACCACAGAGGGUUUACAUUCUCUUUUAACAUGAAAGGCUACUCAUACUCAGGUUUUAGCACUGGGCCAGCAGGAAAGUCAGCUCACCAGCUGAGAGGAGGAGAAAUGGACGCUGCUCUACAACACUGCCUCCAGGCUAGAGAGGAGGACAUCUAGGCCUGGCUGACAUCCACCACUCAGACCAUCCCAUACCCUUUGGCUCAGACUCCAUGUUCACCAAGCAAACUUUUGAUUGCAUUUGGCUUCAUGUAGAGACUUUGCCACCGAGGAGAGAACACACUGACCAGUUAACAGCAGUCAAUAUCCCUGAGUUCACUCAACUCUCAGUGAAUUGAAGAAAUCAUAUCUCUAGGCUGCCAAAGCUCGAGUAUAGACCUCAGACUGCCAGCUCACCCAGAUAUGUCAUGGCUGACAAAAAGGUUUGCCUCUGAAAUUCUUCAGUUACAGCAUUUCUCUUACUGUUAGUGACAGGGGCUUGUUUACCUUCAAGAUCAAAAUCUUAUUGCACUUAGAUUUAUUACAAGAAAAAACUCUUAAAAAAAAAAAGUUUCUUGAAAAUUUCUCGUCCUAAACUACAUAGAAGUCGACACACACAAAAAAAAUUUAAGAGUUUCUACUAUUAAAGCAAUACAAAAUGAAGGAAUCAAAUAAUAUUAUUUUGUUUACAUGGGAGAGGAAAGCCAAGACUGCCAACUUUUGUAGUAAACAGAUAAUUAAGCACUAAAAUACAAUGCUCUAAAAAUAGUCACAGCACAAGCCUAGCAUUAUAUUUAUUGUAUGACUCAUAGUUUCUUAUUCAUGUCUGGAAUAUUGUUUUCUAAAAGCAAAAGAUAAAGAUGUCAUCUGAAGUCAACUCAUAGAGGAAACAAUGCCGACAUGAACUCAGCUGGAGGAUCUUAGCUGGUGAGAUUUCCACCCAAAGCCAACUUACCAUCACUCUUCACUAACUGAGUGAUUUUUCCUAAUCAAAUAAUAUCUGUGAAUUCACGUUUGGGCAAAUCAGCCUUUGGCAUAGUCCAGAGCAGUUAUGAUUUAAGCUGAAUUUAGGAA